GUGAAUCAUCGAAUUUUUGAACGCAAAUUGCACUUUCUGGUAUUCCGGAGAGUAUGCCUAUUUGAGGGUCAUUAGAAAUAAUAUAAAUUUCGAGAGUGUCUUGGAAUCAAAAAUGGGAGGGUCUAGUAUUCGUGUGGUGGUCGCCUAAAAUGCAAGACAAGAUCAUUUUUUGGGAUGCGUGAUACUUUCAGUUACCUUGUGACUUCAUAAGGAAUCUUUGAGCGAGUUAGGA
Molecule: unclassified non-coding RNA, 232 nt
Filed under: Archaeospora sp.
Lineage: Eukaryota; Fungi; Glomeromycota; Glomeromycetes; Archaeosporales; Archaeosporaceae
Description: partial contains 5.8S ribosomal RNA and internal transcribed spacer 2
Rfam family: 5.8S ribosomal RNA (bases 1-71)
Source: RNAcentral